CAUAUGUUAAAUUUUGUGCAUCAUCCAUAGCCAAGACUCUUUUUCUGUCAUAUGAAGCAUGUGUAGAAACUAUGGAAAACGUUGACAAUAUUUAAUCCGCCAAUAUUUCAAAUUUGGAUUUGGUAUGAAACAAGGUUUAGAUUUUCACGGUUCACACAAUGGAAGCAUGACAGUGGGUUUCUAACCCUCCACUGCAUAUGUCUGAACCUCAGCCAAGUUAUCUUCUGGAGAAUA
Molecule: unclassified non-coding RNA, 234 nt
Filed under: Hevea brasiliensis (rubber tree)
Lineage: Eukaryota; Viridiplantae; Streptophyta; Magnoliopsida; Malpighiales; Euphorbiaceae
Source: RNAcentral